Molecule: ribosomal RNA, 418 nt
Filed under: uncultured bacterium
Lineage: Bacteria
Description: bacterial SSU rRNA
Rfam family: Bacterial small subunit ribosomal RNA
Source: RNAcentral
AUAUUGGUCAAUGGGCGCAAGCCUGAACCAGCCAUGCCGCGUGCAGGAUUAAGGCCCUAUGGGUUGUAAACUGCUUUUGUACGGGAAGAAACAGCGCUUCGUGAAGCGCCUUGACGGUACCGUAAGAAUAAGGAUCGGCUAACUCCGUGCCAGCAGCCGCGGUAAUACGGAGGAUCCAAGCGUUAUCCGGAAUCAUUGGGUUUAAAGGGUCCGUAGGCGGGCCUGUAAGUCAGUGGUGAAAUCCGGCGGCUUAACCGUCGAACUGCCAUUGAUACUGCAGGUCUUGAAUUAUUGGGAAGUAACUAGAAUAUGUAGUGUAGCGGUGAAAUGCUUAGAUAUUACAUGGAAUACCGAUUGCGAAGGCAGGUUACUACCAAUACAUUGACGCUGAUGGACGAAAGCGUGGGGAGCGAACAGG